UACGUAGGGCGCAAGCGUUGUCCGGAAUUAUUGGGCGUAAAGAGCUCGUAGGCGGCCUGUUGCGUCCGCUGUGAAAUCCCGGGGCUCAACCCCGGGCCUGCAGUGGAUACGGGCUGGCUAGAGGCAGGCAGGGGAAAACGGAAUUCCUGGUGUAGCGGUGAAAUGCGGCAGAUAUCAGGAGGAACACCGGUGGCGAAGGCGGGUCUCGUGGGCCGAUGACUGACGCUGGAGGCACGAAAGCGUGGGGAGCAAACAGG
This 257-nucleotide ribosomal RNA is filed under the name uncultured bacterium. RNAcentral describes it as "partial 16S ribosomal RNA". It matches the Rfam family "Bacterial small subunit ribosomal RNA", at positions 524 to 776 of the family's 1533-position model. The record is from RNAcentral.